Molecule: ribosomal RNA, 393 nt
Filed under: uncultured bacterium
Lineage: Bacteria
Description: partial 16S ribosomal RNA
Rfam family: Bacterial small subunit ribosomal RNA
Source: RNAcentral
AUACGGAAGGUCCGGGCGUUAUCCGGAUUUAUUGGGUUUAAAGGGAGCGCAGGCGGAGAUGCAAGCGUGACGUCAAAUUUCGGGGCUCAACCCCGUCUCGCGUCGCGAACUGCGUCCCUUGGUUGCGGGAAGGGGAGGCGGAACUCGUGGUGUAGCGGGGAAAUGCAUAGAUAUCACGAAGAACUCCGAUCGCGAAGGCAGCCUUCCGGCCCGUCAACGACGCUCAUGCUCGAAGGUGCGGGUAUCAAACAGGAUUAGAUACCCUGGUAGUCCGCACAGUAAACGAUGGACACCCGCGGUUUGGCCUGUAUGGCUGAGCCGCCAAGCGAAAGCGUUAAGUGUCCCACCUGGGGAGUACGCCGGCAACGGUGAAACUCAAAUGAAUUGACGGGG